GGGGGCGAAAAGGGUUCGACGGAGGUAAAGAAGCUCAAGCUGCAUGCCGGGGUCUGCCCGCCCGUAAAACGGACAGGCUUAAAGACAAACGCAGACGAUUAUGCGUAUGCCGUAGCCGCUUAAAGCGGCUACCGUUCCUCCGGUCAGCGCCUGGGUAGCCGGAUGGAGCGUCGACUCACCGGGCUAGUCUUCGGAACGGUGCUUCCAGUUCCGCGGGCGAAGCGUGAGGAAGCUGGCUUCGAGAGCAUCCGGCCACGGGGAGGCUCGAGAAGCGAGAACCAAAACCGCGGCUAAGCAUGUAGAUGCUUGUGCGGAAUGCCUUCGGACGCGGGUUCGAUUCCCGCCGCCUCCACCA
Molecule: transfer-messenger RNA, 355 nt
Filed under: Desulfoglaeba alkanexedens
Lineage: Bacteria; Pseudomonadati; Thermodesulfobacteriota; Syntrophobacteria; Syntrophobacterales; Syntrophobacteraceae
Also listed under: 1 other name
Description: Standard tmRNA
Rfam family: transfer-messenger RNA
About the family: Bacterial tmRNA, also known as 10Sa RNA or SsrA, is named for its dual tRNA and mRNA-like properties. Its role is to liberate the mRNA from a stalled ribosome.
Source: RNAcentral